UACGUAGGGUGCGAGCGUUGCCCGGAUUUAUUGGGCGUAAAGGGCGCGUAGGCGGCAUAUUAAGUCAGCUGUGAAAUCUCCGAGCUUAACUCGGAACGGUCAGCUGAUACUGAUGUGCUAGAGUGCGGAAGGGGCAAUCGGAAUUCUUGGUGUAGCGGUGAAAUGCGUAGAUAUCAAGAGGAACACCUGAGGUGAAGACGGGUUGCUGGGCCGACACUGACGCUGAGUGCGCGAAAGCGUGGGGAGCAAACAGG
RNAcentral lists this ribosomal RNA (254 nucleotides) under uncultured bacterium. RNAcentral's name for it is "partial 16S ribosomal RNA". It matches the Rfam family "Bacterial small subunit ribosomal RNA", at positions 524 to 776 of the family's 1533-position model. The record is from RNAcentral.